AUCUUCCACAAUGGACGAAAGUCUGAUGGAGCAACGCCGCGUGCAGGAUGACGGCCUUCGGGUUGUAAACUGCUCUUAUAUGGGAAGAUUAUGACGGUACCAUAUGAAUAAGCACCGGCUAACUCCGUUCCAGCAGCCGCGGUAAUACGGAGGGUGCAAGCGUUAUCCGGAUUUACUGGGUUUAAAGGGUGUGUAGGCGGAUAUUUAAGUCAGAGGUGAAAUCUCCGGGCUCAACCCGGAAACUGCCUUUGAUACUAUUUAUCUUGAAUUUCGUUGAGGUUGGCGGAAUAUAUCAUGUAGCGGUGAAAUGCAUAGAUAUGAUAUAGAACACCGAUUGCGUAGGCAGCUGGCUGAACGACGAUUGACGCUGAGGCACGAAAGCGUGGGUAGCGAACAGG
This 398-nucleotide ribosomal RNA is filed under the name uncultured bacterium. RNAcentral's name for it is "bacterial SSU rRNA". It matches the Rfam family "Bacterial small subunit ribosomal RNA", at positions 361 to 776 of the family's 1533-position model. The record is from RNAcentral.